AACGNGGCGGUGCUACCUCGCAAGUCGAACGAUGCUUUCGGGCUAGAGGCGCACGGUAGCGUAACGCGUGGGAUCUAGCCUUAGGUUCGGAUAACAGCUAGAAUAGACUGCUAAUACCGGAUGAUGACUUAAGUCCAAGAUUAUCGCCUGAGGAUGAGCCCGCGUAGGAUUAGCUAGUUGGNGAGGUAAAGGCGCACCAAGGCGACGAUCCUUAGCUGGUUUGAGAGGAUGAUCAGCCACACUGGGACUGAGACACGGCCCAGACUUCCUACGGGAGGCAGCAGUGGGGAAUAUUGGACAAUGGGCGCAAGCCUGAUCCAGCAAUGCCGCGUGAGUGAUGAAGGCCUUAGGGUUGUAAAGCUCUUUACCCGUGAUGAUAAUGACAGUAGCGGGAGAAUAAGCCCCGGCUAACUUCGUGCCAGCAGCCGNGGUAUACGGAGGGGGCUAGCGUUGUCGGAAU
Molecule: ribosomal RNA, 460 nt
Filed under: uncultured bacterium
Lineage: Bacteria
Description: bacterial SSU rRNA
Rfam family: Bacterial small subunit ribosomal RNA
Source: RNAcentral